GUGAACGCUGGCGGUAGGCCUAACCCCUGCAAGUCGAACGGCAGCCCAGUAAGAGCUUGCUCUUACGGGUGGCGAGUGGCGGACGGGUGAGGAAUACAUCGGAAUCUACUUUUUCGUGGGGGAUAACGUAGGGAAACUUACGCUAAUACCGCAUACGACCUACGGGUGAAAGCAGGGGAUCUUCGGACCUUGCGCGGUUGAAUGAACCGAUGUCGGAUUAGCUAGUUGGCGGGGUAAAGGCCCACCAAGGCGACGAUCCGUAGCUGGUCUGAGAGGAUGAUCAGCCACACUGGAACUGAAACACGGUCCAGACUCCUACGGGAGGCAGCAGUGGGGAAUAUUGGACAAUGGGCGCAAGCCUGAUCCAGCCAUACCGCGUGGGUGAAGAAGGCCUUCGGGUUGUAAAGCCCUUUUGUUGGGAAAGAAAAGCAGCAGGUUAAUACCCCGCUGUUCUGACGGUACCCAAAGAAUAAGCACCGGCUAACUUCGUG
Molecule: ribosomal RNA, 491 nt
Filed under: uncultured bacterium
Lineage: Bacteria
Description: partial 16S ribosomal RNA
Rfam family: Bacterial small subunit ribosomal RNA
Source: RNAcentral